UCGAAUGUUGGGUCAAACAGGAUCUGUUCUAUAGGUUCGUACAACUGUCUCUUAGAAUUCUAACGAGAUAGGCACUAAAGUCUGGUUGAUGAUUCAGGACCUCAGGAUCGGAGCGUGAUUAACGGUGGGGAUCUCUCGCGGUCUCUCACAGUAGGGGAUCGUUCUCAGCUGCUGGUGGUGCCCAUCGGCUGGGGCGAUCCUGGGGUUGUCUGACAGACC
Musa acuminata AAA Group (dessert banana) is the source of this 219-nucleotide small nucleolar RNA. RefSeq annotates it as small nucleolar RNA U3. Lineage: Eukaryota; Viridiplantae; Streptophyta; Magnoliopsida; Zingiberales; Musaceae. The record is from RefSeq and is a predicted model, not a curated record. The transcript has a single exon.